This is a non-coding RNA of Erythranthe guttata (spotted monkey flower), 417 nucleotides long. The record is from RefSeq and is a predicted model, not a curated record. NCBI's taxonomy places the organism in Eukaryota, Viridiplantae, Streptophyta, Magnoliopsida, Lamiales, Phrymaceae.
UUGAGAUCAUGCAAUAAGAGUGGUCAUCAUCACAACGAAGCUGAUGGGGGUAGUUUUGGGUUUUCCCCCUCAUCCAAGACGACUAUGAGGAGAAAUGGGAGUAGUUUUUCCAGUCUCGCUCAAGCUGCUGCGCCUACUCAUCAUCAUCUCUGGGGAAGUAUAUAUGAGAGUUUAAAGCAAGCUGUGGCAUGGAAAAGCACAAGAAAAUCAAAGAAAGAAAGGAUACGUAUCAAGGAGUACGAAAUUAUAUAUUAAGUAUAGUAUAAACAUGCUCUUAGCUUCCUCUAAUCUAAUAUAAAGCAGCUUCAGCAUUAUUUAUAUAGUAAUACAUAUUUUAUUCUUGCAUGAAUCACAAAGAUAUUGUAAGAUUUGUAUGAGUGGUAGUCAAAUUUUGAUUUGUAAGAAAUUAUUGAUGUA